GGCAGCAUGGUCUUAGCUUGCUAAGGCCGAUGGCGACCGGCGCACGGGUGAGUAACACGUAUCCAACCUGCCGUCUACUCUUGGACAGCCUUCUGAAAGGAAGAUUAAUACAAGAUGGCAUCAUGAGUUCACAUGUUCACAUGAUUAAAGGUAUUCCGGUAGACGAUGGGGAUGCGUUCCAUUAGAUAGUAGGCGGGGUAACGGCCCACCUAGUCUUCGAUGGAUAGGGGUUCUGAGAGGAAGGUCCCCCACAUUGGAACUGAGACACGGUCCAAACUCCUACGGGAGGCAGCAGUGAGGAAUAUUGGUCAAUGGGCGAGAGCCUGAACCAGCCAAGUAGCGUGAAGGAUGACUGCCCUAUGGGUUGUAAACUUCUUUUAUAAAGGAAUAAAGUCGGGUAUGCAUACCCGUUUGCAUGUACUUUAUGAAUAAGGAUCGGCUAACUCCGUGCCAGCAGCCGCGGUAAUACGGAGGAUCCGAGCGUUAUCCGGAUUUAUUGGGUUUAAAGGGAGCGUAGAUGGAUGUUUAAGUCAGUUGUGAAAGUUUGCGGCUCAACCGUAAAAUUGCAGUUGAUACUGGAUAUCUUGAGUGCAGCUGAGGCAGGCGGAAUUCGUGGUGUAGCGGUGAAAUGCUUAGAUAUCACGAAGAACUCCGAUUGCGAAGGCAGCCUGCUAAGCUGCAACUGACAUUGAGG
This 694-nucleotide ribosomal RNA is filed under the name uncultured Bacteroidales bacterium. Its description in RNAcentral is "bacterial SSU rRNA". It matches the Rfam family "Bacterial small subunit ribosomal RNA", at positions 68 to 751 of the family's 1533-position model. The record is from RNAcentral. Lineage: Bacteria; Pseudomonadati; Bacteroidota; Bacteroidia; Bacteroidales.